AGAACCUCCCUUCCCGCGUCUCCAACUCCGGCCCCUUCCCCCGCAGCCCGAGAAAAGUUCCGCCUCCAUGGAUCCGGGCGGAAAUGAGGUACCACGCGCCUCUCUUCCGUUGAGCAGCCGCUCCUGCGUCACCGCUCGCCAGCCCACCGUCUUGCGGCGGGGUACCCAAGCAGCUCGUAAUCAAGUUUAUCAAUAACGACACCUUCAAUGGCAGCUAUGUUAAAAACCCUUUUAACUUUAAACAUGUAUGUGGAUGGUGAACAGGUGCCAGCGAAACCCCUAUGACCUGAUUUUGAGAAUGGAAACUGCAUGAGGGAGUACAUGCAGCUCAUGCAGGUGAUUGGGAAAUAUGUAAAAGACAGAUCACUCUUGACUGACCAUUGUGAAUUUGCCCAGAGUUUCACGCUGUAUGCCUUCAAUCUGACUCCAGACUAGGAGUGCGCUAAUCAUUCUCUGAUUAAAACUGGAAACCUGAAAACGGAGAUUCGGUUUGCAAUGGUGCUGCUCUCUACGGUUAACAUGAUUGUCUAUGGGGUUUUUGAUAAUGUUCUUGAAGUGAACCAUAGAAGAAACAUCCUGUUUGACUAUAUGUGAUUAUGAACACCAUGCAGCUAAGGUGUAUUUUAUCAAAAGAUGCUUCUUUAAAUUUUAGAUGUUUUUCCUAGUGACUUGCUUCAAAAGGGGUCUGUGUCCAGAAGACCUUUGGGGCUUAUUGUUAACACGCACCCCCAUGACUUACCCAGGAAACAGUGGCUGGCUGGCCCUCUAUUUACCAAAGCAGGGGCCGGGUGAGUUCUUUGACUGCUAUGGAUUUCCACCAGACAGUAACUUUUUUCCUAAAUCUAUUAUGACUUUUUAAAAUCGUAACUCUAAUAAUGUUAUCAUGUGGUUAUCAUUGUAUAUACAACUCUACCUCGAUAUAACGUGACCUGAUAUAACACGAAUUCGGAUAUAAGGCAGUAAAGCAGUGCUCGGGGGGGGGGCAGGGCCGCACUCUCCUGUGGAUCAAAGCAAGUUUGAUAUAACACGGUUUCACCUAUAACGUGGUAAGAUUUUUUUGGCUCUCAAGGACAGCGUUAUAUCGAGGUAGAGGUGUAUUUUUUUUUAAGCAACAUAAUAGGGUUUUAUCUUUUGAUCGCAUUUUAAAGUUGUAUACCAAUGAAUUACCAGAAAAUUACUGGAUGGUGGUGCAGUUUGUAAAAGAGAAAAGGUCAGGUGUGACCAGACUUGUUCCAAACAUGUUUCAGCAUAUCCAGACGUGUUUGUCUUGUUGUGAGUUUAAAGAAGCACAUCAAUAAAGCAUAUGUUGAUUUUU
Gopherus flavomarginatus (Mexican gopher tortoise) is the source of this 1315-nucleotide long non-coding RNA. RefSeq lists it as uncharacterized. Lineage: Eukaryota; Metazoa; Chordata; Testudines; Testudinidae. The transcript has 2 exons. The record is from RefSeq and is a predicted model, not a curated record.